RNAcentral lists this ribosomal RNA (687 nucleotides) under Ralstonia sp. HPC 586. RNAcentral describes it as "bacterial SSU rRNA". It matches the Rfam family "Bacterial small subunit ribosomal RNA", at positions 29 to 707 of the family's 1533-position model. The record is from RNAcentral. Lineage: Bacteria; Pseudomonadati; Pseudomonadota; Betaproteobacteria; Burkholderiales; Burkholderiaceae.
GUAGUCGUACGCGGUAUCCCUUUGUCUGCACGUCGACCCGUGCAUGUUCUACUUUGCUCUUUUGCUGGCGAGUGGGGAACGGGUGAGUAAUACAUCGGACCGUGCCCUGUAGUGGGGGAUAACUAGUCAAAAGAUUAGCUAAUACCGCAUACAACCUGAGGGUGAAGGUGGGGGACCGCAAGGCCUCUUGCUUUAGGAGCGGCCGAUGUCUGAUUACCUAGUUGGUGAGGUAAAGGCUCACCAAGGCGACAAUCAAUAGCUGGUCUGAGAGGACGAUCAGCCACACUGGGACUGAGACACGGCCCAGACUCCUACGGGAGGCAGCAGUGGGGAAUUUUGGACAAUGGGCGAAAGCCUGAUCCAGCAAUGCCGCGUGUGUGAAGAAGGCCUUCGGGUUGUAAAGCACUUUUGUCCGGAAAGAAAUGGCUCGGGUUAAUACCUGGGGUCGAUGACGGUACCGGAAGACUAAGGACCGGCUAACUACGUGCCACCAGCCGCGGUAAUACGUAGGGUCCAAGCGUUAAUCGGAAUUACUGAGCGUAAAGCGUGCGCAGGCGGUUGUGCAAGACCUAUGUGAAAUCCCCGAGCUUAACUUGUGAAUUGCAUUGGUGACUGCACGGCUAGAGUGUGUCAGAGGGGGGUAGAAUUCCACAUGUCCCGUGAAAUGCGUAAAAGAUGUGGAGUAUU